Molecule: non-coding RNA, 1802 nt
Organism: Cordylochernes scorpioides
Lineage: Eukaryota; Metazoa; Arthropoda; Arachnida; Pseudoscorpiones; Chernetidae
Source: the annotation of a GenBank genome assembly
ACCUGGUUGAUCCUGCCAGUAGUCAUAUGCUUGUUUCAAAGAUUAAACCAUGCAUGUCUAAGUACACGCCCUAGCAAGGCGAAACCGCGAAUGGCUCAUUAAAUCAGUUAUGGUUCCUUAGAUCGUACACAUUUACUUGGAUAACUGUGGUAAUUCUAGAGCUUAUACAUGCAAUUGAGCCCUCGUCCCUUUUAGGGUGAGGGUGCUUUUAUUAGACCAAGACCAAACUGGGGCAACUCCGAUAGUCGUGGUGACUCUGAAUAACUAUGGCGGAUCGCACAGUCCUAGCACUGGCGACGCAUCUUUCAAGUGUCUGCCUUAUCAACUUUCGAUGGUAGGUUAUGCGCCUACCAUGGUUGUUACGGGUAACGGGGAAUCAGGAUUCGAUUCCGGAGAGGGAGCCUGAGAAACGGCUACCACAUCCAAGGAAGGCAGCAGGCGCGCAAAUUACCCACUCACGGCACGGGGAGGUAGUGACGAAAAAUAACAAUACGGGACUCUAACGAGGCUCCGUAAUUGGAAUGAGUACACUCUAAACCUUUUAACGAGGAUCUAUUGGAGGGCAAGUCUAGUGCCAGCAGCCGCGGUAACUCUAGCUCCAAUAGCGUAUAUUAAAGUUGUCGCGGUUAAAAAUCUCGUAGUUGGAUCUCAGUCGCGCUCCCUUCGAUGCGUUGCAAAGCGUCUAUCGUUGGGGCCGACAGCACGUUGGUGGGCCCGGUUGGCUUUUACCGGUUGAUCUGGUUCUCCGGCAAUUUUACUUUGAAAAAAUUAGGGUGCUCAAAGCAGGCUGGUGCCAACAACGCGCCAUCUAUAUAUAGCAAAUGAAAACAUUAAAAAAACGAAUGUUUUUUUCACACAUAAAUCAACGCAUUUUCAUCAAGUUCUGUGUGAAAAACGGAUUCAAAGGUGCCCAACAUUUUUUGGAUGUUGCAAACAGCCUAUGGGGAUGCUGUCAUGAGCCGAAGACGAAUUUUCGAGUGGUACAAGCGCUUCAAGGAGGGUCGGGAAGAGACCGCCGACAACGAGCGUUCUGGGAGACCGUCCACAUCAACCACGCCUGAAAAAGUGGACAAGGUGUUGGAACUGGUGCGUGAAGACCGACGAAUAACUGUCAGGAAGGUCGCCGAAAAAGCAGGGAUAUCAUUCGGGUCGACUCAAUCGAUGAUGAAGGACAUUUUGGGAGUGAGAAGACUCAACGCCGUUCUCGUUCCCAAAGAUUUGACUUUUGAUCAAAAGUCUCAAUCUCGAAGCGACAACCGACGACCCCGAAUUGCUGAAGAGGGUCAUUACUGGAGACGAAACAUGGAUUUACGGCUUUGAUUCGGAAACUACCCAACAGGCAUCGGAGUGGCGCUUCAAAAAUGAGCCGAGACCAAAGAAAGCGAGUAAGGCUCCCAGCAAAGUCAAGGUUAUGUUGACGGUGUUCUUCGACUACCAGGGCAUCGUUCAUCAUGAAUUUCAACAACAAAGCUCUACAAUAACUGCUGACUCCUACCUGGGAGUUUUGAGGCGAUUGAGGGAAGCGAUCAGGCAGAAACGGCCGGAGCUGUGGAGGAGCAAGUCGUGGAUCUUCCACCACGAUAACGCGCCGGCGUACACAGCCCUCAAAAUCUCGAAGUUCCUGCAGGACCACUCAACCUCUGUGUUCCCCCAACCCACCUACAGUCCCGAUUUGGCCCCCUGCGACUUCUUCCUUUUUGGAAAGCUCAAAAAAAAAAGUUAAAGGGUCGGAAAUUUCAGAGCAUAGAAGAGAUCAAAGUGGAAUCGAAGAAGGCCAUGAAGGCGAUCCCGAAAACACACUA